Molecule: long non-coding RNA, 309 nt
Filed under: Capsella rubella
Lineage: Eukaryota; Viridiplantae; Streptophyta; Magnoliopsida; Brassicales; Brassicaceae
Description: long non-coding RNA (CRUB_LNC002193)
Source: RNAcentral
GACAACUUCGUAGCAAUGUAAGUUUAUUUACAUCUAUAAAAAUGAUAGUUAACCGUUGUUAUGUGACUUAUAUAGUUUUGUUUCAUAUCUUAUUUUCUUAGGAAUCCAAGGAGGUCUACCCGCAUAAGUAGACAACGUCUAUGAUCGAGAGAAUAGUCAUAUUUAUUUUUUAUUUUUCAUGAUUAAGAUUGGUUUUAAUGUUAAGACUUCAUGACUUCUCCUUAUUAUACUAUAUUAUACGUCUUUUAAAUAUCAUGCUUUACGUUUUAUAUUCGAUGUAUUAAAUAUAAAGUGGUCAAUCUUUCAAAC